Molecule: non-coding RNA, 89 nt
Organism: Armillaria nabsnona
Lineage: Eukaryota; Fungi; Basidiomycota; Agaricomycetes; Agaricales; Physalacriaceae
Source: the annotation of a GenBank genome assembly
UCUCUGGUACCAUAUCGGUUAGUACACGCUCCUGUAGUGUUGUCGAUGAUCUCGCGCGCACAGGCUGGGUUCGACUCCCAGCCAGAGAG